AGAGUUUGAUCAUGGCUCAGAACGAACGCUGGCGGCGUGGAUAAGACAUGCAAGUCGAACGAGAUUUUCUUUGGUAGCAAUACCGAAGAAAGUCUAGUGGCGAACGGGUGCGUAACACGUGGGCAAUCUGCCUUAAAGUGGGGAAUAGCUCGGCGAAAGCCGAAUUAAUACCGCAUGUGAUCAGAGGGGACAUCCCUUCGAAAUCAAAGUCGGGGCAACCUGACGCUUUUUGAGGAGCCCGCGGCCUAUCAGCUAGUUGGUGAGGUAAUGGCUCACCAAGGCUCUGACGGGUAGCUGGUCUGAGAGGACGACCAGUCACACUGGAACUGAGACACGGUCCAGACACCUACGGGUGGCAGCAGUCGAGAAUUUUUCUCAAUGGGGGAAACCCUGAAGGAGCGACGCCGCGUGGAGGAUGAAGGUCUUCGGGUUGUAAACUCCUGUCAUUUGGGAACAAGUUGGACGCCGUAACUGCGCGUCCAUUGAUAGUACCAGAAGAGGAAGGGACGGCUAACUCUGUGCCAGCAGCCGCGGUAAUACAGAGGUCUCAAGCGUUGUUCGGAUUCAUUGGGCGUAAAGGGUGUGUAGGUGGCGCGCUAAGUCGGGUGUGAAAUUUCGGAGCUUAACUCCGAAACUGCAUUCGAUACUGGCGUGCUUGAGGACUGGAGAGGAGACUGGAAUUCAUGGUGUAGCAGUGAAAUGCGUAGAGAUCAUGAGGAAGACCAGUGGCGAAGGCGGGUCUCUGGACAGUUCCUGACACUGAGACACGAAGCCAGGGGAGCAAACGGGAUUAGAUACCCNNGUAGUCC
RNAcentral lists this ribosomal RNA (809 nucleotides) under uncultured bacterium. RNAcentral's name for it is "bacterial SSU rRNA". It matches the Rfam family "Bacterial small subunit ribosomal RNA", at positions 8 to 796 of the family's 1533-position model. The record is from RNAcentral.